This is a non-coding RNA of Bos taurus (domestic cattle), 72 nucleotides long. The record is from Rfam. Lineage: Eukaryota; Metazoa; Chordata; Mammalia; Artiodactyla; Bovidae.
UCCCUGGUGGCUCAGACGGUAAAGCAUCUGCCUGCAAUGCGGGAGACCCGGGUUCGAUUCCUGGGUUGGGAA